Molecule: ribosomal RNA, 400 nt
Filed under: uncultured bacterium
Lineage: Bacteria
Description: bacterial SSU rRNA
Rfam family: Bacterial small subunit ribosomal RNA
Source: RNAcentral
UAAGGAAUAUUGGACAAUGGUCGGAAGACUGAUCCAGCCAUGCCGCGUGAAGGACGAAGGCGCUCAGCGUUGUAAACUUCUUUUGUACGGGAACAAAACCACCAAUGCGUUGGUGUCUGAGGGUACCGUAAGAAUAAGCACCGGCUAACUCCGUGCCAGCAGCCGCGGUAAUACGGAGGGUGCAAGCGUUAUCCGGAAUCACUGGGUUUAAAGGGUGCGUAGGCGGUUCGAUAAGUCAGUUGUGAAAUUCCCUCGCUUAACGAGUGGGACUGCGAUUGAUACUGUUGAACUUGAAUCAGGUUGAGGUAGGCGGAAUGUGACAUGUAGCGGUGAAAUGCAUAGAUAUGUCAUAGAACACCGAUUGCGAAGGCAGCUUGCUGGACCUGUAUUGACGCUGAGG